This 392-nucleotide ribosomal RNA is filed under the name uncultured bacterium. RNAcentral's name for it is "partial 16S ribosomal RNA". It matches the Rfam family "Bacterial small subunit ribosomal RNA", at positions 523 to 918 of the family's 1533-position model. The record is from RNAcentral.
ACACGUAGGGGCCUGACGUUGUUCGGAAUCAUUGGGCGUAAAGGGCGCGCAGGCGGCCGUCCAAGUCCGGUGUUAAAUGGUCGGGCUCAACCCGAUCAUGCGCUGGAAACUGGGCGGCUUGAGUCCCGUAGGGGAUGCCGGAAUUCCAGGUGUAGGGGUGAAAUCUGUAGAUAUCUGGAAGAACACCGAUGGCGAAGGCAGGCAUCUGGCCGGAGACUGACGCUGAGGCGCGAAGGCGCGGGGAGCGAACAGGUUUAGAUACCCUGGUAGCCCGCGCAGUAAACGAUGCGCACCAGGUGUCGGGCGGCAGCGCCCGGUACCGGAGCUAACGCGAUGAGUGCGCCGCCUGGGGAGUAUGCCCGCAAGGGUGAAACUCAAAUGAAUUGGCGGGG